RNAcentral lists this small RNA (146 nucleotides) under Pseudomonas aeruginosa PAK. Its description in RNAcentral is "potential sRNA". Lineage: Bacteria; Pseudomonadati; Pseudomonadota; Gammaproteobacteria; Pseudomonadales; Pseudomonadaceae. The record is from RNAcentral.
GAUUGCUCCGACACAGGGAUGUGUAAACCCGCUCCGGCGGGCCGUGGAACGAGACCACUCGAACCACAGUCAGGGGUCGGUAACGGACGAUCGCCCCAGGCAACCGAGCCAAUCCCCCCAGGGCUGGCUUCGACACACGGAUGUGU